RNAcentral lists this ribosomal RNA (456 nucleotides) under uncultured organism. RNAcentral describes it as "partial 16S ribosomal RNA". It matches the Rfam family "Bacterial small subunit ribosomal RNA", at positions 329 to 801 of the family's 1533-position model. The record is from RNAcentral.
ACGUACACUCCUACGGGAGGCAGCAGUGGGGAAUAUUGGACAAUGGGCGCAAGCCUGAUCCAGCCAUGCCGCGUGAGUGAUGAAGGCCCUAGGGUUGUAAAGCUCUUUCACCGGUGAAGAUAAUGACGGUAACCGGAGAAGAAGCCCCGGCUAACUUCGUGCCAGCAGCCGCGGUAAUACGAAGGGGGCUAGCGUUGUUCGGAUUUACUGGGCGUAAAGCGCACGUAGGCGGACUAUUAAGUCAGGGGUGAAAUCCCGGGGCUCAACCCCGGAACUGCCUUUGAUACUGGUAGUCUUGAGUUCGAGAGAGGUGAGUGGAAUUCCGAUUGUAGAGGUGAAAUGCGUAGAUAUUCGGAGGAACACCAGUGGCGAAGGCGGCUCACUGGCUCGAUACUGACGCUGAGGUGCGAAAGCGUGGGGAGCAAACAGGAUUAGAAACCCCUGUAGUCCCAUGAU